This is a long non-coding RNA of Ochotona curzoniae (black-lipped pika), 1923 nucleotides long. RefSeq lists it as uncharacterized. The record is from RefSeq and is a predicted model, not a curated record. The transcript has 5 exons. NCBI's taxonomy places the organism in Eukaryota, Metazoa, Chordata, Mammalia, Lagomorpha, Ochotonidae.
CAGGCUACUGUCUCUAAAUGGUCACCGGCCAUUUGCCAAGAUUGGAGAAGCAACUACCUGAAAAAUCAUUAUGGGUAAUCUUUCCUUUGGCAAACCCAAGAAUCUUUGGGUGCUCACUCCUUCAGAAGGUUGGGUGGUCUGGUUCCAAGAGCCUGGCAGAGCACGAACUGUUCCUCUACUUUCACUUUUACCUUCAUGUAUUUCCCAUUUGAAAUGGAGAAAAUGUGAGUACAUUAAUAAGUUAUUUUCCAUUACCAAGCUUUUAAAAAUUUGUUUAAAUUCCGUUCUUGGCAUGUAAGCUCCUUGGCAUGUAGAAAUUGUUCUAUACUCCUAUAGAGUUGAAUUCAUUAUAUUGAUAAAGUACUUCAAUAACAGCUUGGUGAAAAUUUUUUGGUUCUGAAUUACUGGUGAAUAAAAACUCAAUGAAAGGUUAAAUGGAAAGCCCCAGUGUUAAAAAAGUGAAUUUCUCUUGCUGUGAUUCAACUGUUUGCUUUAGAAGCACUUAAAGUUCCUGCAGAAUCUCUUGCUAUCUCUUUUGACCAAAUCUUACUUGCUUCUUCCAUGUCAGAGGUUGAUUUAACCAACAGAAUUGGAGUAAAAUGGCAUGGUACAAGUUAGUACAGACUACAUGACUGUAAGUUCUUUUGUGAUGGCAAAUGGGUAGAAUAUAUAUUAAGUUUUCUUUCUUUUUCAAACAUAAAGAAUACAAAGUACUCUGAAUAUUUGAAUACAAAUCAAGAUACUUAUACACCUCAAUCUGCAAAGUUUCCCUUCUUGUCAACCCUUUCACCCCUCCCCAACAAUGCACCCAUGCAUCCUCCCUUCUGAUGUUUGGUUCUUGGAAGUAGACCAAAAACAGAAGCUGAAUGGAGACUGUUUCCUCUACACUCUUCCACUCUAUGUUCUUUUGAAAUUUGUAUUAUAGUUCAAUAAAUUUAAGGUGAGAAAAGGUAUUAUGGCCUUGUAUAUUGCUCAAGAGAACAGGUAGAGAAAUUUUAUACUAUAGAACAGUAUUGGAUUAUAUAGUUCUUGAUCCUGUGUAUAAUACUGUAUCUUUCAAUCAUUAUAGUAAGCAUGGGAAUGGAAUUUUCUGAAGAAGAAAAUGUUUAUUUAAUAUAUGAGGAAAUUGAAUAUUACACUGGUAAAGCAGCUUCUCCAAGGGCACAGAGCAUAGGGAAGGAAGGUGGUAAUUGCUGCUCAUUUGAGCCCCACACCAUAGAUGCAAAGGGGAAGAACUGUUGUAGGAAAAAAGCUGUUGUAAUGAGGUCUUCACUGUCAUUAGAAAUGAAACCUUUUGUGGAAGGUCCCAAGAUUAAUGUAUUCUUUGACAUUUUGCUUUCUGGAGAAAGGGUGUUUGGUCUGUAUGGUUCAAUUGAAAUAAAAUAAUGUUAUUAAUCAUUUUGGUGGUUUUUAAUUACAUUAAAUAGAUUUGAGAUGCACAAAAAGAACACACUCCCUGCUAGUCAUGCACUCCUCAGAUAUUUGUGAUGGCUGAGGUUGGGCAGGGAGAACCCAGGUUCUCUGAAUCGAUCUGGGUCUGUCAUGUAAGUGUCAGGAAUCCAGCUACUUGAGCUCUCAUCUGAUGCUUCUUUGGGUUUGCAUUUGCAGGAAGCUGGAAUUAGGAGCAGGACCUAGGUGUCAAACUCAGGAGUUCCGACAUGGGAUGAAGGGCAUCUUAACUGCUAGACUGAACACCCAAAGUAGCAUUCUUAAUUUGAAAUACAACCUUUGUUCAAUCAAGUAAUCAUUUUUUUUUUCAACUGCGAGCAUACUACUGAUUCCAAACCUAUGAGUCUGCUUGCUGAUGACUGUGCUCAGAUGCUGUCUGUCAUCUCAGAGUCAGGAAAGUAGGUUGCUCAACAGAGUGGUUAAAUAAUUCCGUCACUAACUGUAUGGUUGAGCAACCAUUUCCUUAUCAGUGUG